Molecule: long non-coding RNA, 1778 nt
Organism: Symsagittifera roscoffensis
Lineage: Eukaryota; Metazoa; Xenacoelomorpha; Acoela; Convolutidae
Exons: 3
Source: RefSeq, a predicted model, not a curated record
UUUGUAGCUUAUUUAAUUUAAUUAACCAAUAGAUCCAGUUGUUUUUUUAUUUUGUAGAAAAACAGUCAUUUCAAAUGGUGGUUUUGAAGUGAUUCAAGUUUUUGUGACAUUACAUCAGCUUUUCUGUAAAACAGAAAAUAGACGUUUUGGCUUUGUCAUAAGGCUCGAGCUUCUAUUUUUUGCAACUUCGCCGAAAAAAGUAUCGAGUCAUCAUAAAACUACUAAUACUUCUGAAGUCAUUUGUUUGAUAUUUAUUGAAAAAACUCUGUCUUAUGAUAUUCUACUUCAUUUAUAUGGCUUAUUCAAGUUGAUUAAUCAAUAGAUUCAAUUAUUUUGGUGACUUUAUGAAAAACAGUUGAUCUGCAUUUGAUUCGGUUAAAAAAGUUUUGAGUUGGAAAAAAGCACAAAAAAAAUAUUUCGAAUUGAAGACGAAGAAAAAAAAGAACUUUUAAAAUUAAACAAAAUAGAAAAAAAAAUUGAGAAAAAAUGUUUCAUAUCCUCAAUCUAUUUGUUGUUUCAAUUGGUUUGUUCCCGUAUGUUAACCAUCCUGAACAAACACAACUUAAUCACUUUUUUGCCCCGGAAAUUCAAGAAGAGAUUACUUCCAAAAUCUUCACUGAUGUUCUGAGAGUUAACUCUCACGUGUGUGUCAUUGGGAGCAAAAACAUUGACUUCAUGAUGUGUCAAAAAGAGGAUGUUCACUCAUCGGGAAAAUUUGGUCACAUGGUUGGAGGCAUGCUGGACGUUUGCAGCGCCGCCAAGAAUAUUCUGAGAUACCCUAAAUUAGGAAACGCAACCGAAGUACUGCUGAGAGAAAUCAUUCGAGAACUUCAUGAAGUUGGCCCGUAUCUUCGACCUGAGAAUAGCUUUCAAAGUUCAUGUGAUCUUUCAGAGGAAGCAAAAAUUCAGGACUACAUAACUUAUGAAGAAUUCUGCUUUUGGAUAAUAAAAUUUUGCAGCAAAAUGGAAGAGUGCAUGCUAGAUGUCGUCGCAAUGAGUGACAGCCAGAAAGCUAAAAGGAACCCAACUAUCAUACUUGUAGCAGACAAAGAAAUCGAAAAGAUCGCCAAUGGGCUUGACAGGGACCCACCCAAUUAUCAUUCUUGUACCGGACAAAAAAAUCGACAUUUCGUCAGUGAUUUUGCCAGGAACCGAGCUAUCUUGCUUGUAUCAGACGAAGAAAAAAGCAACAAAAAGAAGUUGCCAUGAAAAUCAUAAAAAGUUAUUUAGCCGUAGAAGUGAUUUUUAGAGGUUGAAAGUUUAUUUGACCUAGAAAGAGAUUUUAGAUAGUUUUUUAUAACUUGAAAAAUAUUUUUUUUUGUAGACGCUACAAACAGUCACGGGUUCACCAAAAAUGCUAAUCGUACAAAUUUCAUAUAUGGAAAAAUGCUAAUCAUACACUUUUCAUGCAAUUCCAUAAGUACAGAAAAUGCUUUAAAGGUCUAUGAUUAGUGAUUUUUCAUAUAUGGAAAUUGUAUGACUAGCAUUUUUUCAUGCACCAAAAAUAAUGAUAAUUUACAUUUAAAUUUUUCAAAUUUUUUUGGUUAUGUUCGUAACCGAACAGGAGUGACAAAAACCUCGGUUACUCAAACGUAGAAAACCAAAGGUUUGACCGUCUCGCAUUAUAAACACAUUGGAAACGGCCUGUACUAUCUUAAAUCUGUCUUUCACAAAUAAUGUAACGAAAUUAUCAAACUUUUAAAUUUUGGCAAAAUUUUUCAACGAUGAGUAUUUUUAAAAUUUGAAUUUUUAGUUUAGUAAACAUUGAUCAAGGCAUA